GACGAACGCUGGCGGCGUGCUUAACACAUGCAAGUCGAACGGUGAAGCGCCUUCCUUUUUGGUGGGUGUGGAUGAGUGGCGAACGGGUGAGUAACACGUGAGUAACCUGCCCCCUUCUUCUGGAUAACCGCAUGAAAGUGUGGCUAAUACGGGAUAUUCUGGGUCUGUCGCAUGAUGGGUCUGGGACAGAUAUUGUUUCGGUGGGGGAUGGGCUCGCGGCCUAUCAGCUUGUUGGUGGGGUGAUGGCCUACCAAGGCGGGGACGGGUAGCCGGCCUGAGAGGGUGGACGGUCACACUGGGACUGAGACACGGCCCAGACUCCUACGGGAGGCAGCAGUGGGGAAUAUUGCACAAUGGGCGCAAGCCUGAUGCAGCGACGCCGCGUGAGGGAUGGAGGCCUUCGGGUUGUGAACCUCUUUCGCCAGUGAAGCAGGCCUGCCUCGUUUGUGGGUGGGUUGACGGUAGCUGGAUAAGAAGCGCCGGCUAACUACGUG
RNAcentral lists this ribosomal RNA (494 nucleotides) under uncultured bacterium. Its description in RNAcentral is "partial 16S ribosomal RNA". It matches the Rfam family "Bacterial small subunit ribosomal RNA", at positions 28 to 507 of the family's 1533-position model. The record is from RNAcentral.